RNAcentral lists this transfer RNA (73 nucleotides) under Ganoderma lucidum G.260125-1. RNAcentral describes it as "tRNA-Arg (TCT) (tRNA-Arg-TCT-2-1)". It matches the Rfam family "tRNA". Rfam says of the family: Transfer RNA (tRNA) molecules are approximately 80 nucleotides in length. Their secondary structure includes four short double-helical elements and three loops (D, anti-codon, and T loops). The record is from RNAcentral. Lineage: Eukaryota; Fungi; Basidiomycota; Agaricomycetes; Polyporales; Polyporaceae.
GCCCCCUUUGUCUAAUGGCUAUGACGUCAGACUUCUAAUCUGGAGGUUGCGGGUUCGAGUCCCGCAGGGGGUA